CAGAGAUGACAUAGCUGAAAAAAAAAACUAUAGCCCAAUAUCCCUCAUGAUCAUAGAUGCAAAAGACCUUGACAAAAUUUUAACUAACUGAAUCCA
This is a long non-coding RNA of Nomascus leucogenys (northern white-cheeked gibbon), 96 nucleotides long. RefSeq lists it as uncharacterized. The transcript has 4 exons. The record is from RefSeq and is a predicted model, not a curated record. NCBI's taxonomy places the organism in Eukaryota, Metazoa, Chordata, Mammalia, Primates, Hylobatidae.